This 93-nucleotide transfer RNA is filed under the name Streptomyces seoulensis. RNAcentral describes it as "tRNA-Leu". Lineage: Bacteria; Bacillati; Actinomycetota; Actinomycetes; Kitasatosporales; Streptomycetaceae. The record is from RNAcentral.
CGGGAGCGACGGCAAGGCGUCUUCGCCGGAUUCAGGUUCCGGCGACGACAAGGGCGGUACCCCCGCCUCCGGUUCCGCCUCGCGCGCCUCCGA